Molecule: transfer RNA, 76 nt
Filed under: uncultured archaeon
Lineage: Archaea
Description: tRNA-Met(cat)
Rfam family: tRNA
About the family: Transfer RNA (tRNA) molecules are approximately 80 nucleotides in length. Their secondary structure includes four short double-helical elements and three loops (D, anti-codon, and T loops).
Source: RNAcentral
UCGCGGGGUAGUUCAGCCAGGUAGAACGUCGGUCUCAUACACCGAAGGUCGUGAGUUCAAAUCUCACCCCCGCAAU